This 460-nucleotide ribosomal RNA is filed under the name uncultured bacterium. RNAcentral's name for it is "partial 16S ribosomal RNA". It matches the Rfam family "Bacterial small subunit ribosomal RNA", at positions 338 to 795 of the family's 1533-position model. The record is from RNAcentral.
CCUACGGGCGGCUGCAGUGAGGAAUAUUGGUCAAUGGGCUUACGCCUGAACCAGCCAAGUCGCGUGAGGGAAGACUGCCCUAUGGGUUGUAAACCUCUUUUGUCAGGGAGCAACGCCGGCUACGUGUAGCCGGACUGAGAGUACCUGAAGAAAAAGCAUCGGCUAACUCCGUGCCAGCAGCCGCGGUAAUACGGAGGAUGCGAGCGUUAUCCGGAUUGAUUGGGUUUAAAGGGUGCGUAGGCGGAAUGCCAAGUCAGCGGUAAAAUCGCGGGGCUCAACCUCGCUCCGCCGUUGAAACUGGCGUUCUUGAGGGGGCGAGAAGUAUGCGGAAUGCGUGGUGUAGCGGUGAAAUGCAUAGAGAUCACGCAGAACUCCGAUUGCGAAGGCAGCAUACCGGCGCCCAACUGACGCUGAAGCACGAAAGCGUGGGUAUCGAACAGGAUUAGAUACCCCAGUAGUC